This 424-nucleotide ribosomal RNA is filed under the name uncultured bacterium. RNAcentral describes it as "bacterial SSU rRNA". It matches the Rfam family "Bacterial small subunit ribosomal RNA", at positions 356 to 773 of the family's 1533-position model. The record is from RNAcentral.
GAGGAAUUUUGCGCAAUGGGGGCAACCCUGACGCAGCAACGCCGCGUGAGUGAUGAAGGCCUUCGGGUCGUAAAGCUCUGUCGAGUGGGAAGAAACAGUUCAGGAUAAUAACCUGAGCCUUGACGGUACCAUUAAAGGAAGCACCGGCUAACUCCGUGCCAGCAGCCGCGGUAAUACGGGGGGUGCAAGCGUUAUUCGGAAUUAUUGGGCGUAAAGGGUGCGUAGGCGGUUUUGUAAGUCAGAUGUGAAAUCCCGGGGCUUAACUUCGGAACUGCAUUUGAUACUGCAAGACUUGAGUAUGGGAGAGGAGAGCGGAAUUCCUGGUGUAGAGGUGAAAUUCGUAGAUAUCAGGAGGAACACCGGUGGCGAAGGCGGCUCUCUGGACCAAUACUGACGCUGAGGCACGAAGGCGUGGGGAGCAAAC